Long non-coding RNA from Benincasa hispida (wax gourd), 733 nucleotides. RefSeq lists it as uncharacterized. NCBI's taxonomy places the organism in Eukaryota, Viridiplantae, Streptophyta, Magnoliopsida, Cucurbitales, Cucurbitaceae. The record is from RefSeq and is a predicted model, not a curated record.
CAGAAUUUUCAGUUUUCCCUCUAAAGACUUGAGAGUAUUUCCCUCCUUUUUUCCCUAAACCCUCAAGAAACCACUAAUGGCAGAUUUCUUUGAUUCUUCUUUUCUCCCUCCUGGAAGCGGAUUAUCGAUUCACAACUAGCUUCUUGAAUAACGUUUCUCCGGCGACCGUCGAUUGAAAUUUCAAGAAUUGCAGAUCAUCGAUUCUUCGGCAGCAGCUUCAAGGAAGAUAAUCGAUUCGUUGAGCGCUUCUUGAACGAUGAUUCUUGGCCGGCCGUGUAUUAAAAUUUCAAGGAUGCUCUCGAGUUUUUGAAUAAAAAAUUGAACGGACAACUACGACAGAGGAAUCAACGGUGAACGGUACGCAAUCUUCCAAUGAUUUAUUAUUACUUUUACCGUGAACCUUAUGAAAUGUUUAAACUAUUAAGGAUUUAUUAUUACUUUUACCGUGAACCUUAUGAAAUGUUUAAACUAUUAAGGAUUUAUUAUUAGACUUAAUAUUUAUGUCAGUAAUAGGGAAUGAGAUUGAGGUUUAGGGAAGAUUUUUAUUUUUGCUAGUCAAAAGUUAUUUAUUUAUUUAGAAAAAAUAUCCUAUUUAUAUUAGUAUCUCCAAGUGAGAUUCAAGUUAUCUAUUUAUGUUUUUUAAAUUUAUAUUAGGAGGAGGAAUAAGGAAGGGAAAAAAGAAAAAAAAUGAGGAAGAAUAAGGAAGGAAAAAAAGGAAAAAAAAAAACAAAAA